AGGGUUUGAUCAUGGCUCAGAUUGAACGCUGGCGGCAGGCCUAACACAUGCAAGUCGAACGGUAACAUUUCUAGCUUGCUAGAAGAUGACGAGUGGCGGACGGGUGAGUAAUGCUUGGGAACUUGCCUUUAGGAGGGGGAUAACAGUUGGAAACGACUGCUAAUACCGCAUAAUGUCUACGGACCAAAGGGGGCUUCGGCUCUCACCUAAAGAGAGGCCCAAGUGAGAUUAGCUAGUUGGUAAGGUAAAAGCUUACCAAGGCGACGAUCUCUAGCUGUUCUGAGAGGAAGAUCAGCCACACUGGGACUGAGACACGGCCCAGACUCCUACGGGAGGCAGCAGUGGGGAAUAUUGCACAAUGGGGGAAACCCUGAUGCAGCCAUGCCGCGUGUGUGAAGAAGGCCUUCGGGUUGUAAAGCACUUUCAGUUGUGAGGAAAGGUUGGUAGUUAAUACCUGCCAGCUGUGACGUUAACAACAGAAGAAGCACCGGCUAACUCCGUGCCAGCAGCCGCGGUAAUACGGAGGGUGCGAGCGUUAAUCGGAAUUACUGGGCGUAAAGCGCACGCAGGCGGUUUGUUAAGCUAGAUGUGAAAGCCCCGGGCUCAACCUGGGAUGGUCAUUUAGAACUGGCAGACUAGAGUCUUGGAGAGGGGAGUGGAAUUCCAGGUGUAGCGGUGAAAUG
Molecule: ribosomal RNA, 683 nt
Filed under: uncultured bacterium
Lineage: Bacteria
Description: bacterial SSU rRNA
Rfam family: Bacterial small subunit ribosomal RNA
Source: RNAcentral